AGCGCAUCCGCACAUCUGUUCCCAGAAGAGCUUCCAGUGCGCAGGGGGAGGAUCCAUUGGGUCAUUUUGGGCCACUUUUCGGAGGUUCAGGGGUCCAAGAAUGGAAUACUCUGGGAUACCCAUCAAUUCCUGGCCGACAAUAGCCAUCUGGAGAGCUCCAAUCAUCAAGUGGACUUACCUUCGCGGGUGCCGCGUUUGCGGCCCAAAGUGCUGAACUUGUCCCAGAAGCUGUCCUCCUUCUCGCCCUUUUUAAUGGCGGUGGGCGUGUGCGGGGAUUUAGGGCGGUUCAGUGUGGACAUGGUGCUGCUGGAUUCCAAGAAUUCCGGACUAAGUGAACAGUUUGUGUUAUUGUUUCGAUUCGUUUCGGGCGGAGCUGAGCAAUCAGUUUCCCUUGGGGCUGCCACCUGAUCGCAGGCCCACCACACAUGUUGUCCAACACUGGCGUUCGGACUCAAGAGAAACUUCCAAAAAAAUCGAAUAAAAACUAAAUUGCCAAUUAUAAAAAUUGUUUAAAAAGACCUUAGAUUAAAUUAAAACAAUGAGCUUAAAUGU
Molecule: non-coding RNA, 552 nt
Organism: Drosophila melanogaster (fruit fly)
Lineage: Eukaryota; Metazoa; Arthropoda; Insecta; Diptera; Drosophilidae
Source: Ensembl